GGCGCCCUGCUGGAUUCGACGUGGGCUUUUUCUCGGCUGAAUCCUUGUUCGUGAAACCGGGAGUUGCCUCUGCCUGUGGUGAGCAGGCUCGGACAUUUACCGAGAAGCCUAAAGCAGGUA
Molecule: small RNA, 120 nt
Filed under: Myxococcota bacterium
Lineage: Bacteria; Pseudomonadati; Myxococcota
Description: partial 6S RNA
Rfam family: 6S / SsrS RNA
About the family: E. coli 6S RNA was the first non coding RNA to be sequenced, but its function was unknown until recently. It consists of 184 nucleotides that fold into an extended hairpin structure with a large single-stranded internal bulge. The 6S RNA specifically associates with RNA polymerase holoenzyme containing the sigma70 specificity factor.
Source: RNAcentral